GAUUAACGCUAGCGGCAGGCCUAAUACAUGCAAGUCGAACGGUAAAUAGGUAGCGAAUAUCUAUGAGAGUGGCGCACGGGUGAGUAACGCGUAUGCAACCUACCUUUAACUGGGGGAUAGCUCCGAGAAAUCGGGAUUAAUACCGCAUAAUAUUAUCGAAUGGCAUCAUUUGAUAAUCAAACUCUGGUGGUUAAGAUGGGCAUGCGUGACAUUAGUUAGUUGGCGAGGUAACGGCUCACCAAGGCUACGAUGUCUAGGGGGUCUGAGAGGAUGAUCCCCCACACUCGGUACUGAGAUACGGACCAGACUCCUACGGGAGGCAGCAGUAAGGAUAUUGGUCAAUGGACGCAAGUCUGAACCAGCCAUGCCGCGUGCAGGAUGACUGCCCUAUGGGUU
RNAcentral lists this ribosomal RNA (396 nucleotides) under uncultured bacterium. RNAcentral describes it as "bacterial SSU rRNA". It matches the Rfam family "Bacterial small subunit ribosomal RNA", at positions 28 to 424 of the family's 1533-position model. The record is from RNAcentral.